Long non-coding RNA from Pseudoliparis swirei, 735 nucleotides. RefSeq lists it as uncharacterized. The record is from RefSeq and is a predicted model, not a curated record. The transcript is spliced from 4 exons. Lineage: Eukaryota; Metazoa; Chordata; Actinopteri; Perciformes; Liparidae.
CUCCAAUGCAAUAACACAGGAGAAGUUGGCCAGCCACCGCCACAACACUGAAAGGCCACCAUAUCUCCAAACACCAUCGACAAAGAAUCACAGAAUCGAGAGAAUCUGGCCAGAAAUUAACAACCGAGUUAACUACCCAUUGAAAGCUGCAUUGGUCGAACUGGUGGAUCAGGAGGAGCUGGACAUGGAGGACCAGAUGACUCGGUUCUGUGUGUCAUCUUUGACAUGCCAGUUGGCCCAGAUCGGUGUUAACCGAACUGUGCAAGCAUGGAAUGCACACAGGAUUCCUGGGAGGGGGAUACCAAAUUACUUGGCCAGAGAUGGAUGCCCAAAUAAGCUGUCGACAGACCUUUUGCCAAAUGCAUCUGUGGCUGCAGACUGGUACGACCAGGAAGUGGGCUCACUGACAGAGUGUCAGACUUUGGCACCAACCCGUUUCCAAGUUUACAGGACCAGGAAGCUGCAGUGAGGGGAUUUGCUCUGCAGUGCCCUGAUACAAGUGGACUGCUGGACAAUGCAGUGAAUAAUCUGCCACAACCGUUCAAAGAUGGACUCAAAGGCCUCAUCGACAUCUCAAGGAGAAGUUGUCAACGCUGAUGUUUUUUUGUGUGUCUAAGUUGUUAUUGUCUGUGCUUUUUAAUUAAUUGGUUCAACUGACGGGAUGUUUUUUUCUUUUCUUCAAAUGUUGGGGGUUUAAAGGGAGAAAUAUGUUCUUUUUGAAUAAACACUUCUGUC